UUUUUGAGAUGUCCAUUCUUAUCUAAAAGAGAAGAUGCAAUGAAAGUGGACACAAACUAAUGAGAGCCCUAUCAAGUGAAGUGCGGAUGGCCUCCAACAACUGAUUUUCAGCAAGUGUUUUAUGAUAGAUGCAAUCCAUCAGAAAUUUUAUCUCCGGAAUCAAGAAAGCAUUCAGACCUAACAGUUUAUAGAUAAGAAAACUGAGGAAGAUAAAGUUUAAGUGAUUUCCUAUUGACUAGGGAGAAGAUAGAUCCAUCUUCCAUCUAGUGUCUGGGCAUCUACAGAUUGAAAAUGGCAGACCAUUCCAACAAGAAACAUCCUAUCCUUAAGGAGGAGUUGAAGGCAUCAAGGUGUUGCAGUGGAUAUAAUGCUGGAACUGGAGUUAGGAAGACCAGAGUUCAAAUUUGACCUAGACACUUACUAGAUAUGUGACCCUGGGCAAGUUAUUUAACUUCUCUCUCUAUGCCUCAAUUUCCUAAUCUAUAGCAUGGAGAUAAAAAUAGCACUUCCCAUGGUUCUUGAAUGGGUUAAAGGAGGUAUUUGUAAAGGAUUUUGUGUACCUUAAAGCACUAUGUAAAUGGUAAUUUAAAAAAGAAAAGCCUUCUUUUUGGUUAUUAGCAACCUUUCCCCUCUCACUUGAGAUUUGAUUCAGAACUUUAUUCUGCAUCUAUUUUGUCCAUCAUAAAAUAUUUUGAAGUACAAAUAUCUACAUUUUUGUCUUC
This is a long non-coding RNA of Monodelphis domestica (gray short-tailed opossum), 722 nucleotides long. RefSeq lists it as uncharacterized. The record is from RefSeq and is a predicted model, not a curated record. NCBI's taxonomy places the organism in Eukaryota, Metazoa, Chordata, Mammalia, Didelphimorphia, Didelphidae.